AGUGAACGCUGACGGUAGGCCUAACACAUGCAAGUCGAACGGCAGCACAGUAAGAGCUUGCUCUUACGGGUGGCGAGUGGCGGACGGGUGAGGAAUACAUCGGAAUCUACUUUUUCGUGGGGGAUAACGUAGGGAAACUUACGCUAAUACCGCAUACGACCUACGGGUGAAAGUAGGGGAUCUUCGGACCUUGCGCGAUUGAAUGAGCCGAUGUCGGAUUAGCUAGUUGGCGGGGUAAAGGCCCACCAAGGCGACGAUCCGUAGCUGGUCUGAGAGGAUGAUCAGCCACACUGGAACUGAGACACGGUCCAGACUCCUACGGGAGGCAGCAGUGGGGAAUAUUGGACAAUGGGCGCAAGCCUGAUCCAGCCAUACCGCGUGGGUGAAGAAGGCCUUCGGGUUGUAAAGCCCUUUUGUUGGGAAAGAAAAGCAGCAGGUUAAUACCCCGCUGUUCUGACGGUACCCAAAGAAUAAGCACCGGCUAACUUCGUG
Molecule: ribosomal RNA, 492 nt
Filed under: uncultured bacterium
Lineage: Bacteria
Description: partial 16S ribosomal RNA
Rfam family: Bacterial small subunit ribosomal RNA
Source: RNAcentral